RNAcentral lists this ribosomal RNA (253 nucleotides) under uncultured bacterium. RNAcentral describes it as "partial 16S ribosomal RNA". It matches the Rfam family "Bacterial small subunit ribosomal RNA", at positions 524 to 776 of the family's 1533-position model. The record is from RNAcentral.
UACAGAGGUCUCAACCGUUGUUCGGAUUCAUUGGGCGUAAAGGGUGCGUAGGCGGUCGGGUAAGUCGGAUGUGAAAUCUCAGGGCUCAACCCUGAAACUGCAUUCGAUACUGCCUGGCUAGGGUACUGGAGAGGAGACUGGAAUUCAUGGUGUAGCAGUGAAAUGCGUAGAGAUCAUGAGGAAGACCAGUGGCGAAGGCGGGUCUCUGGACAGUUCCUGACACUGAGGCACGAAGGCCAGGGGAGCAAACGGG